RNAcentral lists this small nuclear RNA (164 nucleotides) under Erinaceus europaeus (western European hedgehog). RNAcentral describes it as "U1 spliceosomal RNA (ENSEEUG00000017525.1)". It matches the Rfam family "U1 spliceosomal RNA". From Rfam's summary of the family: U1 is a small nuclear RNA (snRNA) component of the spliceosome (involved in pre-mRNA splicing). Its 5' end forms complementary base pairs with the 5' splice junction, thus defining the 5' donor site of an intron. There are significant differences in sequence and secondary structure between metazoan and yeast U1 snRNAs, the latter being much longer (568 nucleotides as compared to 164 nucleotides in human). Lineage: Eukaryota; Metazoa; Chordata; Mammalia; Eulipotyphla; Erinaceidae. The record is from RNAcentral.
AUAUUUAGUUGGCAGUAAAGGUACGAUGAUCAUGAAAGUGCUUUCCCCAGGGCAAGGUUUGUGUCCACUCCACUUAGAUGUACUAGCCCCUGUAAUCUCCCAAAUGUGAGAGACUCGAAUGCAGAAUUUGUCAUAGUAGCGGAUUGUGUUGGCAUUCUCCUCUG